CUUAAACUCUUACUCAAGACCCCUAUUUUGAAUCAUUGGAGUGAAGAAUAUAUACAUGAAGAUUACUCACCUUCUUUCCUUGUUUCCAUUUACUUACCAUGGCUAGGAUUUGUUUUCCUCAAGAGAGACCAUACAUGCAUAUUAUUUGUUAAGACUUUUUCUAGCUUUCAGAGUGACUUGCCCUUACCUUGAAGUACUUUAUUCAGACUUUUGCACUUUAGAUCUUACUUGGAAAGGUCACCAACCUAUUUUUG
RNAcentral lists this long non-coding RNA (254 nucleotides) under Manihot esculenta (cassava). Its description in RNAcentral is "long non-coding RNA (MESC_LNC002170)". The record is from RNAcentral. Lineage: Eukaryota; Viridiplantae; Streptophyta; Magnoliopsida; Malpighiales; Euphorbiaceae.